UGAGGAAUAUUGGUCAAUGGGCGGGAGCCUGAACCAGCCAAGUCGCGUGAGGGAUGACGGUCCUACGGAUUGUAAACCUCUUUUGCCGGGGAGCAAGCGUGCGUUCGUGAACGCGCGUCGAGAGUACCCGGAGAAAAAGCAUCGGCUAACU
This 151-nucleotide ribosomal RNA is filed under the name uncultured bacterium. Its description in RNAcentral is "partial 16S ribosomal RNA". It matches the Rfam family "Bacterial small subunit ribosomal RNA", at positions 355 to 502 of the family's 1533-position model. The record is from RNAcentral.